Molecule: ribosomal RNA, 253 nt
Filed under: uncultured bacterium
Lineage: Bacteria
Description: partial 16S ribosomal RNA
Rfam family: Bacterial small subunit ribosomal RNA
Source: RNAcentral
UACGAAGGGGGCUAGCGUUACUCGGAUUGACUGGGCGUAAAGGGCGCGUAGGCGGUUUGUACAGUCAGACGUGAAAUUCCUGGGCUCAACCUGGGGGCUGCGUUUGAUACGUGCAGACUUGAGUUCGGAAGAGGGUCGUGGAAUUCCCAGUGUAGAGGUGAAAUUCGUAGAUAUUGGGAAGAACACCGGUGGCGAAGGCGGCGACCUGGUCCGAUACUGACGCUGAGGCGCGAAAGCGUGGGGAUCAAACAGG